This 730-nucleotide ribosomal RNA is filed under the name uncultured SAR324 cluster bacterium. RNAcentral describes it as "bacterial SSU rRNA". It matches the Rfam family "Bacterial small subunit ribosomal RNA", at positions 88 to 848 of the family's 1533-position model. Lineage: Bacteria; Deltaproteobacteria. The record is from RNAcentral.
GAGUACAGUGGCGCACGGGUGAGUAACGCGUAGAUGAUCUACCCUUCAGUCUGGGACAACUCUUGGAAACGGGAGCUAAUACCGGAUAAAACCUUCGGGUUGAAAGAUUUAUCGCUGGGGGAUGAGUCUGCGUACCAUUAGCUUGUUGGUGGGGUAACGGCCUACCAAGGCGACGAUGGUUAGCGGGUCUGAGAGGACGAUCCGCCACACUGGAACUGAGACACGGUCCAGACUCCUACGGGAGGCAGCAGUAGGGAAUAUUGCGCAAUGGGGGCAACCCUGACGCAGCAAUGCCGCGUGAGUGAAGAAGGCCUUCGGGUCGUAAAGCUCUUUUAUGGGGGAAGAUGAUGACGGUACCCCAUGAAUAAGCACCGGCUAACUACGUGCCAGCAGCCGCGGUAAUACGUAGGGUGCGAGCGUUGUUCGGAAUUACUGGGCGUAAAGGGCGUGCAGGCGGAUUGGCAAGCCGGAGGUGAAAGCCCGGGGCUCAACCCCGGAGGGUCUUUCGGAACUGCCAGUCUUGAGAGGGUCAGGGGCCAGCGGAAUUCCUGGUGUAGAGGUGAAAUUCGUAGAGAUCAGGAGGAACACCGGCGGCGAAAGCGGCUGGCUGGGGCCACUCUGACGCUGAGGCGCGAAAGCGUGGGGAGCAAACAGGAUUAGAUACCCUGGUAGUCCACGCCGUAAACGAUGGGCACUAAGCGUCCGACGGGUUCGACCCUGUUGGGUGCUG